GAUGAACGCUGGCGGCGUGCCUAAUACAUGCAAGUCGAGCGAACAGACGAGGAGCUUGCUCCUCUGACGUUAGCGGCGGACGGGUGAGUAACACGUGGAUAACCUACCUAUAAGACUGGGAUAACUUCGGGAAACCGGAGCUAAUACCGGAUAAUAUAUUGAACCGCAUGGUUCAAUAGUGAAAGACGGUUUUGCUGUCACUUAUAGAUGGAUCCGCGCCGCAUUAGCUAGUUGGUAAGGUAACGGCUUACCAAGGCAACGAUGCGUAGCCGACCUGAGAGGGUGAUCGGCCACACUGGAACUGAGACACAGUCCAGACUCCUACGGGAGGCAGCAGUAGGGAAUCUUCCGCAAUGGGCGAAAGCCUGACGGAGCAACGCCACGUGAGUGAUGAAGGUCUUCGGAUCGUAAAACUCUGUUAUUAGGGAAGAACAAAUGUGUAAGUAACUAUGCACGUCUUGACGGUACCUAAUCAGAAAGCCACGGCUAACUACGUG
This 497-nucleotide ribosomal RNA is filed under the name uncultured bacterium. Its description in RNAcentral is "partial 16S ribosomal RNA". It matches the Rfam family "Bacterial small subunit ribosomal RNA", at positions 28 to 507 of the family's 1533-position model. The record is from RNAcentral.